AGAGUUUGAUCAUGGCUCAGAUUGAACGCUGGCGGCAGGCUUAACACAUGCAAGUCGAGCGGUAACAUUUCUAGCUUGCUAGAAGAUGACGAGCGGCGGACGGGUGAGUAAUGCUUGGGAAUAUGCCUUAUGGUGGGGGACAACAGUUGGAAACGACUGCUAAUACCGCAUAACGUCUACGGACCAAAGGGGGGGAUCUUCGGACCUCUCGCCAUUUGAUUAGCCCAAAUGAGAUUAGCUAGUUGGUGAGGUAAUGGCUCACCAAGGCGACGAUCUCUAGCUGGUUUGAGAGGAUGAUCAGCCACACUGGGACUGAGACACGGCCCAGACUCCUACGGGAGGCAGCAGUGGGGAAUAUUGCACAAUGGGCGAAAGCCUGAUGCAGCCAUGCCGCGUGUGUGAAGAAGGCCUUCGGGUUGUAGAGCACUUUCAGUUGUGAGGAAAGGGGAGUAGUUAAUAGCUGCUUUCUGUGACGUUAACAACAGAAGAAGCACCGGCUAACUUCGUGCCAGCAGCCGCGGUAAUACGAGGGGUGCAAGCGUUAAUCGGAAUUACUGGGCGUAAAGCGUUCGUAGGCGGUCUAUUAAGCAAGAUGUGAAAGCCCAGGGCUCAA
Molecule: ribosomal RNA, 613 nt
Filed under: uncultured bacterium
Lineage: Bacteria
Description: bacterial SSU rRNA
Rfam family: Bacterial small subunit ribosomal RNA
Source: RNAcentral